Molecule: ribosomal RNA, 704 nt
Filed under: Pseudomonas aeruginosa
Lineage: Bacteria; Pseudomonadati; Pseudomonadota; Gammaproteobacteria; Pseudomonadales; Pseudomonadaceae
Description: partial 23S ribosomal RNA
Rfam family: Bacterial large subunit ribosomal RNA
Source: RNAcentral
GGGGAAACCCAGUGUGUUCCGACACACUAUCGUUAACUGAAUACAUAGGUUAACGAGGCGAACCGGGGGAACUGAAACAUCUAAGUACCCCGAGGAAAAGAAAUCAACCGAGAUUCCCCCAGUAGCGGCGAGCGAACGGGGAGCAGCCCGGAGUCUGAAUCAGCUUGUGUGUUAGUGGAACGGUCUGGAAAGUCCGACGGUACAGGGUGAUAGUCCCGUACACGAAAAUGCACAUGCUGUGAACUCGAAGAGUAGGGCGGGACACGUGGUAUCCUGUCUGAAUAUGGGGGGACCAUCCUCCAAGGCUAAAUACUCCUGACUGACCGAUAGUGAACCAGUACCGUGAGGGAAAGGCGAAAAGAACCCCGGCGAGGGGAGUGAAAAAGAACCUGAAACCGUGUACGUACAAGCAGUGGGAGCACCUUCGGGUGUGACUGCGUACCUUUUGUAUAAUGGGUCAGCGACUUAUAUUCUGUAGCAAGGUUAACCGUAUAGGGGAGCCGAAGGGAAACCGAGUCUUAACUGGGCGUUAAGUUGCAGGGUAUAGACCCGAAACCCGGUGAUCUAGCCAUGGGCAGGUUGAAGGUUGGGUAACACUAACUGGAGGACCGAACCGACUAAUGUUGAAAAAUUAGCGGAUGACCUGUGGCUGGGGGUGAAAGGCCAAUCAAACCGGGAGAUAGCUGGUUCUCCCCGAAAGCUAU